GUUCGCCCCUCCUCUGCCGUGAACUGCCUUCGUCCCGCUUCGCGCGGGUCAGCGUCCUGGGACUUCUGCCCCUGAUCACGAGCCUGGGCCGGGACCUUUACGUGAAGAGGGUCAGAUCUCCGCCUAAGAAUCUAAAGGGUCUCUUGUUACAGGCCUGUCUGUGCUGGGUGCCAUGGUGGCUCUGUGGACCCUCACUCUGGCCUUGGCUGCUGGCCUGGCUGCUACCAGCCCACCCAACAUUGUGCUGAUCUUUGCUGAUGACCUGGGCUAUGGGGACCUGGGCUCCUAUGGACACCCCAGUUCCACCACCCCCAAUCUGGACCAACUGGCCGCAGGGGGUCUGCGGUUCACGGACUUCUACGUGCCUGUGUCUCUGUGCACACCCUCCCGGGCUGCCCUCCUGACCGGCCGACUCCCAGUUCGGAUGGGCCUGUACCCUGGCGUUCUGGAGCCCAGCUCCCGAGGGGGCCUGCCCCUGGAGGAGGUGACCCUGGCUGAGGUCCUGGCUGCCCGAGGCUACCUCACAGGGAUAGCUGGCAAAUGGCACCUUGGGGUGGGGCCUGAGGGGGCCUUUCUGCCCCCGCACCAUGGCUUCCAUCGAUUCCUGGGCAUCCCAUACUCCCAUGACCAGGGCCCUUGCCAGAACCUGACCUGCUUCCCGCCGGCCACCCCCUGCGAUGGCGGCUGCGACCAGGGCCUGGUCCCUGUCCCUCUGUUGGCCAACCUAUCGGUGGAGGCACAGCCCCCUUGGCUUCCUGGACUUGAGGCCCGCUACGUGGCCUUCGCCCGUGACCUCAUGGCAGAUGCCCAGCGCCAGGGCCGCCCGUUCUUCCUGUACUACGCCUCCCAUCACACCCACUACCCCCAGUUCAGUGGGCAGAGCUUUUCUGGGCGCUCAGGCCGAGGGCCGUUUGGGGACUCCCUGAUGGAGCUGGAUGCGGCCGUGGGGGCCCUGAUGACGGCUGUGGGGGACCUGGGGCUGCUCGGAGAGACACUGGUCUUCUUCACUGCAGACAACGGACCUGAGACGAUGCGGAUGUCCCACGGCGGCUGCUCUGGCCUCCUGCGAUGCGGAAAGGGAACCACUUUCGAGGGGGGCGUCCGAGAGCCUGCCUUGGCCUUCUGGCCAGGCCACAUCGCUCCCGGUGUGACCCAUGAGCUAGCCAGCUCCCUGGACCUACUGCCCACCCUGGCAGCCCUGGCAGGGGCCCCGCUGCCCAAUGUCACCUUGGAUGGCGUUGACCUCAGCCCUCUGCUGCUGGGCACAGGCAAGAGUCCCCGGCAGACCCUCUUCUUCUACCCGGCCUACCCAGACGAGGUCCGAGGGGUCUUUGCUGUGCGAAGCGGCAAGUACAAGGCACACUUCUUCACCCAGGGCUCUGUCCACAGCGACACCACUGCGGACCCUGCCUGCCAUGCCUCUAGUCCUCUGACUGCCCAUGAGCCCCCGCUGCUCUUUGACCUGUCUGAGGACCCUGGUGAGAACUACAACCUUCUGGGGGGUGUGGCUGAGGUCGCCCCAGAGGCGCUGCAGGCGCUGAAGCAACUUCAGCUGCUCAAGGCCCAGUUUGAUGCUGCCGUGACCUUCAGCCCCAGCCAGAUAGCCCGGGGCGAGGACCCUGCCCUGCAGGUCUGCUGUCAGCCCAGCUGCACCCCCAGGCCAUCCUGCUGCCACUGCCCUGAGCUCCAGCCCUGAGAGCAUAGGCGGAGGCCAGCCCCGUGCCCCUCGCCCCACCCAGGCGUGUGAUGGUUCAUUGCUGUGCUGUGGGUGUGUAGAGGUGGUUUGUACCUGAGCACGCUAAUAACACCAGCUGACACUUGUAGGUGUGAGAAUUCACAUGAUCCUUGUGAUAGCCCUGAGAUAGGUGUUGUUCUGCCCGUUACAAAUGAGGAACCUGAGGCGUGGAGAGGUCCAGCAACUUGUCUGAGGUCACCCAGCCAGUGAGAGGUUGGCUCUGGAAGCUGCCCCCCUCCCCCUGGUGAUUGCUUGUGUCAGUGCAGACAAGCGUGGUGGUGAGUGUGGGCACACCUGUUCACGGGGGCAAAACUAGGUGCUUUUAUGUGCCAGGACGGGGUGAGGAGGGGGCGAGGGCAUGGCGGGCAGCAGACCCCGAAGACGCGGAGUGCCCACAAGAGCCAGGUUUUCCCCGGGGAAGAAGCACAGGAACUGGACCGCCCUGGGUGUUAGAAACCUGUCUGAAGGAGGGAGAGGGGUUACACGGUCUACUGUGGUGAAGUGGGCUGGGGAGCCCUGCCAGCUCUGAGGAAGGCAUGUCAGCAGCUCCAGAGGCUUCCCCUCAGCCCCCCAGUGCCCCUUCCAGAACUCUGCAUUUCCUACCUGCACACACAUUUCCAGUCUCCUGGCUUCGCCUCUGCCCCCAUGGGAGCCAUUCCCCACCGGCAAAGUGAUCUCUUAAAAACAAGCAGGUUGGGCUCCAUUUGUGCUCAAAACUGCAGGCUUCCUAUCAUGCUCAGAAUAGAACCCAGACUCCUUGGAGUGGCCCACCAUGCCCCACCCCACAGCCCUCGUCCGUCAGCCCUGGCAGCUGGCCGGGUUGCCCAUCAUCAGGGGAAGAUGCUCAUCUUUGACUCUGUCUGGCAUCUUCUCUGCAGAGGGGCCCCCUGCCUGCCCACCCACUGGCAUCUGCGUGGUGGCAUGUAGCCCUCCUGGGGUCCCCUUGUGUGUGUACCGAUCCAGGGCCACGUGCUCCUAGAGCGGCUGUCACACCCCACAUGCUCCCUCAGCAUUGGUUGAGUGAGAAGAGUGCUGUCUGGGGGCUCAGGGCCCCGAGUGGGUGUCCUGUCCUCGUGGUAGACCAAACAGCCAUCCCCGUCCUCCUAACGGUCCCCUCACUGUUUCAUUGGUGGGCAGAGGCCCCGCGACCUCUGAGGUACAGGCUGUCCUAGUCCCAGGAGGCUAGUAGCCAGUCUGAGCCAAUCACAAUCCAGUGGUUGGUCCAAGAGAGGCGUGUGACCAAGGGUCCUGGUCAGUGAAAGGUCAGGGGCAGUCUUCUGGAAUCCCGGGGUCUUCUGCAUCACUCAUCCUCCAGGAGUGGUGAGGACGGUGCUGCAGCAUCACGGGCCCUGACCAGACAUCAUGCAUCCGCUAAACGAGUGUCUCCAGCCACGUACCUCCAGAGCUCACAAUGGGGCCUGCAGUCACCUCGAGGUGCCUUGGUUUCAGGAUGAGAACAGAGAGGAAUGGAAGCAGGUGCAUGAUCUCUGUAUCACAUCCAAAGAUCAAACCCUCCAGCAAGAAUACAUGAAUGCCAGCACCCAGGCAUAACCUGCAGGCGCCUUGUCCAGGUCUGCCGCCCAGCUGGGUGGUGAGCAUCGCUUUAUUAGUUCCACAGACCUUUACUUACCACCCAGCGCUGCGCUUAGGGCUGGGGCACAGAUCGACAGAGGGGACUCACCCCUGCUCCUUUGGUGCUUAACGUCUAGCAAAGGAGAUGACCAUCAACCCUGCGCACUCAGACCAAAUGGAGUUCAGUGUGGUAGAAACUCAACUUCCCAGGUUUCGGUGUGUGGGUGUUGCCUGGGAACAAGGAUCGGGAGCCGUCAGGUGCUACAGAAGUUCUCUGUCUUGACUGGGGGUGCUGGAAACGCGGCGCACACAUGUGUAUAAUGCACUUGAGCCGCACGCUUGAGGGCCCUUUAUGAUGCCAUGUAUAUUUUAUACUGCAGUAGAAAUAAAAUAUUAAUCGUGA
RNA transcript from Lagenorhynchus albirostris (white-beaked dolphin), 3710 nucleotides. It is a transcript of the gene named arylsulfatase A, with no coding region annotated. The record is from RefSeq and is a predicted model, not a curated record. NCBI's taxonomy places the organism in Eukaryota, Metazoa, Chordata, Mammalia, Artiodactyla, Delphinidae. The transcript has 10 exons.